CCAUCCCCAUAAGCUGUUUUGUUCUCUAUUUCCAGUAUCUGCAAUGUGCCAUGCACUUUGUAGGUGCUCAAUACAUGUCUGUUGAAUGAAUAUAUACCUUUAAGAAAUGACCAGGCCAGGUGUGGUGACUCACGCCUGUAAUCCCAGCACUUUGGGAGGCUGAGGGGGGGUGGAUCUCUUGAGCCCAGGAGUUCAAGACCUGCUUGGGCAACAUAGUGAGACCCCCCCCAUCUCUACAAAAAAUUGAAAAAUAUUAUCUAGGCAUGGUGGCGUGCACCUGUGGUCCCAGCUACUUUGAAGGUUGAGGUGGGAGGAUCACUUAAGCCCAGGAGGUCAAGGGUGCAGUGAGCUGUGAUUGCGCCACUGCACUCCUGCCCAGGCGACAGAACAAGACCCUCACACACACACACACACACACACACCCCAUAAUGGGGAACACAGAGCUGGCUCAUAAACAGCUGCCUCAUUCUUGUUCACAGCACAUAGUAUUCCACGGCAUUUUUUAGAUUAAUUUCCUAUGAUGGACAUCUAGGUGGGUUCUGACCUUCAGUAUUUCAAACAAUGCAGCUGAAACGAUGUGCUGCUAACAUAGCACAAGCAUUUAUCCUUGUGUUUCUCAGUAGGAUAAGUCCCUAGAUGUGUGAUUGUUAGGUCAAAAGGUACGCUCAUUUAAAAUUCUGAUCAUAUUUCCAAGUUGUUCUCCAAACUGGCAGACCCAGCCAGUUCUCUCUCCCUGACAACAGUGGAUAAACACUGCUGUUUCCCCAUCUGCUCCAACAUCAUGCAGUAUCAGACUUUUUGAUCUUGGUCAAUAGGGAUCGGUAUUUCUGUGUUCAGUCGGCAUUCCUCUAAUAUGGUAGUGAAGCCUAGUUUCCUUUGGAACUUUUCCAGGGGUCACACCGGCCAAGGCCUGAUUGGAGAUGCCUGGGACCCUGCUGAGCUAGCCGUCCCCCCAACGCUGGCCGCAGCCACGACUCCGAGCGCUGCUCCUUGUUUUUCUGCGCUUUCCUUUCUCCCCCACAAGCUUCUGAUUCUUGGAACCAGGCUUGGUGACCUCACGCGAGUGACUUCAUAUCCGGGACUUUCUGGGAAUUCUCAGCAGCACUUUUUCGCCGCCAUCUCCAACCAAUUGGACUGAGUCUUCUGUCAUUCGGGUCACCGCCGCUGAGACGCCUUCCCUGACCACCCAAGUUGAAGGAACUGCCAACCUUUCCCUUUUGGACUUUUGUAUUUCCUUCACAGUAUUUCUCCCCUCUAAAAUUAUCUUGUCUGCUUCUACCUAUAUUGUCUUCCCUCUUGAAACCAAAGUUUCAUAAGCUGAGGCAGAAAUUCUGCCUUGUUCAUCUCUGUUCUCAGCACCCUGAACAGAGCCUGGCAUGAAUGAGGUGCUCAAUAAAAGUUACUUGGAUGAAUGGGC
RNAcentral lists this long non-coding RNA (1417 nucleotides) under Rhinopithecus bieti (black snub-nosed monkey). Its description in RNAcentral is "lncRNA (ENSRBIG00000046152.1)". The record is from RNAcentral. Lineage: Eukaryota; Metazoa; Chordata; Mammalia; Primates; Cercopithecidae.